GGAGCGGGUGGAACAGCGAGGUCAAGCGUGGAGAUCCCAGUUGCGAGUCAGCUCCGCGCCGCGGAGCAAAGACAGGACGUGGAUAAUCUUGGGAGGGAGACGCUGAACUGAAGAACAGAAAAGAGAGAUAGAGGCAGAAGUGAGGAGAGAGGGACAGGAAAAGAAAAUAAAGGCAGAAAACCAGAGAAAAGAUGAGACGGAGUGCGGAAAAGCAGGCGGGGAUAAAGGAAGGAAAGAUCUGUCGCAGAAAUGCGGGAAGAGGUGGAGGAAAAGAAACAGAAAAGAGACCCAGAGAGAGACCCAGCCACGAAGAAGGCCGCGGGGACGGGCGCGGAGCCGAGGGCCCUGCAGGCACGGAGGGGACGUCCCGCGGGUCUGGGGGUGUGCGGCUUUGGGACAGGCGAGUGCGUGCGGAGAGAAGGAGGAAGCGUGUUUGGUGCUAGACACUGCGCCCGUGGAAAAGCGGCUCUGGGCAGGAAUCCAACAAAUAAAUAAAACGUCUAAGACGGCGUGACAACAAUGUGUAUUUGGGUGCGUGCCCGUGUUCCUCUGUCUGAACACAGUCACACCCAGUAAGGAAGACAAACGGGGCUCGUGUCUCACAGUAAUUAAUCCUCUCACUAACUGAUUCUUUCCCCUUACCUAAUGGCGGUGGUCACUGCCGAUAUCUGGAGAGAUAUCAAGUGGGGGGAGACAGAGAGAACCCCAAAGCUAACGACCUUUGGGACUGGGAUUGAGUUUUUUCUGGACUUGGCAGCUCUAAGCCCUGCCCCCACCUCCACUUUUGGGCAGAGUUCCAUAGAUGUUGCUGCUUUCCUUCCCCUUCCAGGUUUUGGGCAGCAUUAAUAAAGAUCUCCUGAGAUUAGGGUGAUGUGGUCACACACACUGAAGCCCUUCUACCGCCCUCCACCUGGGGAGAUCAGUUUCAGAGACUGAAAGCCACCCCUGUCCCUGGGACAUUUCUCACCUCCCUGCAAUACCAGUUCCCCCUCUCAUGUUGUUCCCCCAGGGGCCCAGACCCUGCACCCCCUUCUUUCAGGCAGUACUAACUCUUCCAAGGACCUGGGCGGUGUCCUGCAGUCCCCUAGGGCAGGUGAGGUUUUGAAUGGGCUGAGAAGCAGCCUGGGGUUGAUGGAAGGAGAGCGGUGGGAGGUCAGGGCAAGGAUGGGGAGAGACUUCCAGAGACAACCCUCCUCAGACUUGGGUUGAGAGACACAGAGGCGCAGAGGGGCGCAGUUGCCACCAGGCAAGAGAGAGAGGCCUCUAGGGACAAAGGAGGGAAAGGUGGCCUCUAUGCACUGUGGGAAGGAGCGCCAAAUGUGUGAGAGGCAGGAAGGUGGUCAUGUCUCUGUGACUGUGAGGGUGACAGUUCUGGUCGCUUUGUGUGAGCAUGGGGAAGCCCCCUAUGUUCCCUCACAGCACCCUCAGUUCUCAGACUGGGGAGAAGAGGCAGGGGACUGGUCGGGGACUUGAUGGUCCCCUUGGUAGCUGAGUUGGCUGGAAGGGGUCCAACGCCCAUGGUCUGUCUGGUAAUGCAGCUUUGAGGCUUGGGUUUGGGAGGUGAAUGUCAACUCUCACCCCUGUGAGGUGGCAGCUUUGCUCUAUUGGCCUCCUCAGAGGCUAAAUAAAGAAAUGCUGAGAUCUAUAAACCACCCAGCCCAGAGAGAAAAAGGAGGGAGGAAGGGCAGCUCCUUAGAAAAAAAUCCACCCCCCCCAACCACUAAACACAUUUUUAAUUGUCCCUUGGGAACAUUUGUACAUUUGACCAAAGCGAAUCUCAAAGCAGUAGCAGCAAAAUGAGUCAGAGGGGCUGGUGGUCCAGAGAGAGCUGGGGAUCGCAGAUGAGGAGGCGAGGAGAGGUGGCAGGCAUGUUUGGGAAGGUGAGAAACUUGGCUCCUUUCCCACCAUCUCUGUCAAGCUUUAGAAAGAAAGUGAGCAGGAGAAAUAAAGUUCCAGGGGAAAGAAAGAGAAGGGCAUAUAAAAGGCAAAUCCAACCCAGAAAGGAAAGAAAGUGAAGAAGAAAGAAAAAGGCGGGGAGGGGGAAGAGACUAUAAUAAAAGAGGGUGAAGGCGGCCCCAGGAGGCUGGGCCUCGUCCCAAACCAUCCGUCUUCAUUGUCUCCGUGUGUGCAAAGGCAACUCCAGCAUAAGGAAAACCCACUAUUGGAGCCGAGGCUUUAUUUUAUAUCCUAUACAUCAGGAGGGAGGCAAAGCUUUAUUUUCGCCAAGAGACAGAUAUUUUAUUUCUCUCUUACGGUUUUAUGUGUGAGAGAUGUCAGGUUGCCACAAUGGAUGGCUAAUGCAUAGGCAAGAGGAAGCCGUGUUGGCAUGCUGUGUGUCAUGGGGUCUUGGGGGGGUGAGCGGGCCUGGGAUUUAGGGCUGAUGGGACACUCUGGGGGAUUUCUGCUAAAACAUCUCUCUUCAUAAAUCCAGAAGCGUGGUCAGCUCAACAGGGAGAAGAAGGAGUUUUAGAGAGAAAAGAGUUGGGCUUAGUAAUAAACGAACACACAAAGGAACCGCUUACCUUCCAACAGGCUCAGGCAACGGGGGCACGACAGCCCCAUGGAAAUGCAGAGACCCAUGUCCAUGCACACAAGCGCCAUUCACAGGGAAGUAUUUUCCUGACACAAAAUCCAAUGUCAGUUUCCUUUCCUUUCCCCGUUUUAUAUUUUUCCACCCCCCUUCACCAGAAAUCUUUUUUAACCUCCUCAGAGCCUUGGGGGAAAAGAGCCAUUAAUUUGCAAAUCAUCUGAUCUGUGAAAGGAUCAAGAUGCCUGGUUUUCACUGCUAAAUCCAAUGUCUUGAGUGGACACAGAGGCACACACAAGCCCGUCAUGCUGCCAACCCUUGGGAGCGUAGGUGCCAGAUCUGAAGCCAAGAAAAGACUCCCUCUCCUCCCGGGACCUGCAGCUGAAUUAAGCCUUAGAUUCCAAACUGCAUAAUGUUCGUAUUUUUAAACCUGGAGAGAAGUGGAGAGAUGAAGGGGGACAAAAAGAGGGGGAACUUUGUUAAUUAACAUGUUCCAUUCAGGACUUAGACUAAUUGUCUUCCCCACUUCCAGCCGCCCUCUGACCCAAGCCAUUUCUUACAGGAGUUGCUUUUAUUCAUUAUCAUGUCCUACUCUCCUAAUUUUUGGAUUAAUAUCUACUUGUUUAAUAUCUACUGUGGAGCAAAAACGUGACCACGCUCUUUCUUUUCAGAGGGUCGGAAGCAGCACAGGAUUCCUAGACAAGGAGCGUGGAGACUUGGCUAUACUGUCCCUGGCCAUUGGGGAAGACAUUUAGCCUUUCCGGGCCUCAGUUUCCCAUCUGUAACACGAGGGGAUUCGGCUAAAUGAUUACUGAGGUCCCUUCCAGCUCCGACGUCCUCUGACCGAAUGAGAUAAUGUGUGAAAACACUUUGUGAACACUAACACCGGAUGAAUGCCAGGGAUCAUUAUUACGAUUCUAAUCAAUCCUCUUUUCUCCACAUGGAUCUUGGCUGUUUAGUGCCAGCAAGCAGGCUAAAGGGGGCUGAAAGCAAGAAAGCUUAGCGGAGACGGAAAAGCUCUGUGCCAUGGAUGGGAAAAAAAAAAAAAAAAACCCUGCAUCUCCAGAAACAUUGUGUCUCUGUGUGCCCCCUGAGGCCUAGUGGGAAGCGUUGGGGAGGAGGAGGCCUGACUUGGUAUGACCCAUUUCGGUCUACAUGGCGGCAGAGUGUAUUUCUUCAAAAGCAUUGUUGGUCUCCAAGUGACUGACAUGGGAACCUGAUGGGAAGGCGAUUUGCAAUUGUUUUUUUCCAGGAAGAAAGAAAGAGCAAGGUGUAGCUGAUUAGCAAGUUAAUUAUUUCAGUACCCCAAGGGUUCCAGUGUGGUGGAGACAGGCCCUGGCACCAGGCUCUGGAGAGCCCACUUCCUGACUCCAGCGGUGCGAAGAUGAUACAAUACUUUCUGGUGCUGACAUUCAGCUGUCCCCCAAACAGGUUGGCUGAUAACCCUGCUGGUCCCUGGAGAGGGACCGGGGGCUGUCUAAAAAGACAGUUCUGAUGACUGCUUCAUUGCUAGUGCAGAGGAUUUGGGGUACAGGGGUGGAAUUAAGUCCAAUUGCUGUUUAAAUUGGACUUGGCCUCCUUUAUUUUACAGUCCUAAGGGGUCUCCAGAGGAGAAAAAGUAGUGAGAGAAACUUAGAACACAGGAAAGCAAGCAUAGAGAAGAGUUUCUUGUCUCAAUCUUGGUACUGCCGUGCCAAAAUGAAGCCCAGGGAUGGUUAAAAACAGAUCCUAGGGGCCGGGCACCUUGGCUCAGGCCUGUAAUCCCAGCACUUUGGGAGAUCAAGAUGGGAGGAUUGCUUGAGGCUAGGAGUUCGAGACCAGCCUGGCCAACAUAGUGAGACCUCAUCUCCAAAAAUAAAAACUUAAAAAAAAUUUUAAAAACAAAAACAAAAAUACAGAUCCUAGGGAACAGAUCUUUGAGGUUCCCUGUGGGAUCUUGGCCUGACUCUUGGGAGAUGAAGAAGUCCUUGGUAAGUUUGAAAAUAUCUACAAGUACCAUCUAUUCAGGGGACUAAAUGUGAUUUCUUUUCACUGCCCAGUGGCUGGAUGGUUAUUGGUGGUCCUACCAUCUUGCUCAUGUUCAAGUUUGGUCGUGUAGAUGAAGACCUCAGCUUCCCAGCUCUUACUGUUUCUUUUCCCUCAGGCCAUUCAUAAUUUAGCUAACAUUCUAGUCCAUUGACCAGCACGCAUUUUGAAAGGUGACCUGGCAAGCCUGUAACUGUGUGCAAGGUUGUUCUCAUUUAGGCUCCAGGAAGGAUAGUUUUCCCAUAAGAAAGAAAAGUGGGCGAGAGGCUGAGGUGGGAGGUUGCUUGAGUCCGGGAGGCAAAGGUUGCAGUGAGCUGAGAACCAUGCCACUCACUACCUUCCAGCUUGGGUGACAGAGUGAGACCCCAUCUCAAAAAAAAAAAAAAAAAGAAAAGAAAGAAAAAAAUACAUGAGAGGAAGGAACUAUUUACAUGAAUCUUUUAAUGAAGGAUUUGCCAAUCCGAUAAGUACGAAGCGCCUUUUCCUCCUGAAUGAGUAACUAUGUCAGUGAAUGUUGAGGGUCUGCAGAACCUAUAAAAAAAUGCUUUCUUUGGUCUCUCAGUUUUAACACAUGCUGGGGCUUGGGCCUGCCUCUGACAGACUGGGGAGGACUAGACACAUUCCAGAGACCAGGUCUUGGAGUGUUAUCUCUUCCCCCACCUCAAAUCCUCACCCUCCACUUUAUCUGUCUUUAGCACAAAUGCAGAGACCUCCUAGGGAAGUGUGAAGGGAUGGGUUUUCGUCAGGUUUGGGGAAGGAAGGGGAAUAAGAUGAGCCCCAAAGAAAGAUGGGGGUCACUUGGAAUUUUUAGAUGACACUCUUUUGUUAUACUUUUUGUGUGUUGUGUAUUAUGUCCUACAAAUCAUGCAUUUGUUACAGUAAGCCACAGUGUGUACGUGUGUUUGCCAAGUGCUGCUUGGCCAAAACAGUGUUAAAUAAAAUUGUAAGAAAUGCUACCAGGGCCUUGCAUGGGUUAUUUAAUUCUAUCAAUGAUAAACAACGUUAAUGUGUAGCAUCUCAGUUGGCACAAUAUCAUGUUUCAUUUAUAUAUGCUGAGAUAUAUUUAAGCAUGAAAGAUACAGUUUUCCAACAUAUAUAUUUCUCAGUGAUUACUCAGGGGAAGUGUGAUAGAAACAGCAGAAACCUUUCUCUCUCAAUAAACCUGCAUCCUGCAAACACAGACUGCCAGUCACACUUAGCCACAUGGCCAGCCAGCCAUGUACAUAUUUUCGUAUACAUGCCUUCACAGGUAAGUGUAAAUGUAGAUUUUAGAAAUGUAGAUUCAGAUUUCUGUACUGAUACACGAUUCUAGAUACAUGUAGCAGCACACACAGGCAGCUCUUCAAAGUCUUUGUUAUAUUUACACAUUUUCUCACACACUUACCUACGCUGCUGCAUAGAUGGAUGAUAACAGCAACAUGCAUAUCAUCCCACAUGUGGAUAUGUAUGUGUACACAUGUUGGUACUCUCACUGCCAAGUGCUGAUGUGCCCGGAAGGGUGUGUGCCCACAUGCAGGAGACUGUUCUGCCCAGUCUCCUCCUGAAAUGUGCAUUUGUGUGCAUGUGCACAUUUGCACACACACAUGCACACUCCUCCACCCCUGCUCUGGGGAGUACACUAAAAUUCACUGACACGCUCCAUAUGGCCAUGGAGCAGCAGCUGCCCUGUUACUCUUGGAGGCUCCAGACCUGGUGGACAGUUUUUUUGACCUGGGAACUGUGUGUUUGCCCUAUGAACCCUGAGGCCUUCAGGAUGGGAAGCCUGGAGGAUCAGGGUCAAGAUGCCAGCCUGUCUAGCCUCUGAUGAAAAUAAUAUGAAAACGCAGGAGUGGGACAGGGGGUUGGGUAGCUAGUCUCUGCAGACAGAUGCCUCCAAAAGAGGAUCGACCUUUUAUUUGCUCAUUUGACAAACAUGUCAGAGAGGUAUAUAGGAGUCAGGAUGCCUGAUCAGCUUCUCUGAUCCUGAUUCUACUGCCAGUUAGCUGUGUGGAUCUAGACAACCUGCUCUCUAGGCCUCAGUUUCCACAUCUGUAAAGAACGGGCCUCAGGCUGGACGUGGUGGCUCAUGCCUGUAAUCCAAGUACUUUGGGAGGCCAAGGGGGGUGGAUCACCUGAGGUCAGGAGUUUGAAACCAGCCUGGCCAACAUGGCGAAACCCCGUUUCUACUUAAAAUACAAAAAUUAACCAGGCGUGGUGGCAGGCACCUGUAAUCCCAGCUACUUGGGAGGCUGAGGCAGGAGAAUUGCUUGAACUCGGAGGGCGGAGGUUGCAGUGAGCCAAGAUCGCGCCACUUCACUCUGUCCCCCUCCGCCAAAAAAAAAAAGAAUGGGCCUGGAUGUGCAGUUCUCAAACUUGGAUGCACGGAGGAAUCAUCUGGGGAGCUUUAAAAAAAUACGGAUGUCUGGGCUCCACCCCAGACCAGUUAGAUCAGCAUCUCUGGGAGGUGAGUCCCUUGCAUCUUUUUUUUUUUUUUUUUAAAGCUCCCCAGGUGAUUCUAUGUUUAACCAAGGUUGAGACCCAGUGGCUGAGAUGGUCUCCAAGGCUCUUCUAGACCAAAAGCUCUAUGACAUGGAGGACUUUCCAUACAAAAAGCACUGUACUGGGUACCAGGGCACCCGCUGAAACAUCUACAUUUACUUGUAUAAGGUCAUUAAAAGUUAUUAAAAAUUAUUCUUCUUUCAGUUUAGGCAAAGAAUAAUUUCAAACAAAGUAUAUUUAUCCUGGAAACACUCAUACUUGCAUUUCCAGCUCUCUUUCUGUGUCUUUGUUUUCUUUCCAAUUUAUCUCUCUCUGACUCACUCAUCAAGCAUUAAUUAUAUGCCACAUAUACAAAUACUAUACGUGGGGAUCUGAUAAAUGUGAUAGAUACCUUUGCUACCCACACAUAUUUCCUGGCUAGCUUCUCACCCAAGCUGUUGGAUGGCAUAAUAUUUUUAGCAGGGUAAAUGAUAAGGCACAGGCUCCAGGAGGAAAGUUUUCUCCCCCCACACCCCAAGCCCAGCUGUGAGUGAGAGAACACCAGCCCCCAGGCCCAUGCCCCAGUUCUGGAGGCUGGCAUGGUGCUGAAGAACGCAUUGAGCUGCGUGUCCUAGAAAGCUGCUCUCAGACCUGGGCCUUUGGGAAUCCCACAUUAAUAUUCUCCACUAACAGUUUCCCAGGCAGGGCCAGUCCCCCUUGAAAACAAACCUGCUCCGUGACCACACCUGCCAGAGAAGACUGCCUCUCAUCCACAGUAGCGUGCAGAAGGCAAAACUGAGACAAGACAGCCUGAGCUGCCGCCUGCAGGCCCCUUCUCUGUUGGAGGAUGUUUAGGAGAGUAUGGGGGAGGGCUUCUGCCUCUCAUCUGCGGUGGGAUGGAGGAGAGGGUUUUCAUUCUGCGUGGAGGGCCUCCACUUUUCCCUCCAUGUAAUCACUCACUCAGGCCUCCGAGAGAAACUCAGACGGGAGCCUGCUUCUCUCUUUCCCUCUCUCCCUUUAGCUCCACUGGCCUGCAGAGUUUUGGAUGAGUUUUCUUUAGGAAAGUUGUCCCAACGUGGCCACAGUGGCGGCUCUUCUGUCCAGGCGAGUGACAGAGUAGGGAUCGAGGCUGAGACCCAUGGGUUUGGUCUCUAACCCUCUCAUUCACUCCUCUUUGCUGCCUGUGUCUUUGUUUAUCUCUGUAUUUUCCCCCCUCCCUUUCAUUUUGUCUUCUCCCCUGAUGACAUACGGAGUCAAGUCCUGGCCACCAAGGUGGCCUUGAACAUAGUGUAGGAGAGGUUGCUGGGCACAGCGGACCUCUCAUGCCAUGCCCAGUCCCUCUUCUCCCCUCCCCUCUCCUCUUGCAUAGAGGAUGAGUUUGGUGCUGAGGAGGGAGAGGCAGCAGGGGAUCCUCAGAUUCUAAACUCUGAUCCAGGGCCCAGCUUCCUAGGCUUGAGUCCCUUCCCAGGGCCCACCUCCCCUUGGGCCUGGGGAACGUCACACCCCAGGAAGUGAUGGAUUCCCCAGGCACCUUCAAAGAGCUCUGCAUUUGUUUGCAAUGCAGACCUUGAAUCUUGCUCUGGUCAUAAAUGUUGUUUAUUUUGACUAGGACCUACUGAAAGGGACUGAGAGGUAUAGAAGGCAAAGAGAAUUCUGUGGGGAAGAUCAUAAAACCAUUAGCAAGGCAGGGCUUCUAGGGGUCACAGGAUCACAGACGUUUUCUGGCUGGAAGGAGCACAGGCCAUCAGGAAGGUCAGAGAUGACCACUUUGUCAGCAAAAGGCCUUCAGGGGCCACACAGGGCUAGGGUGGGGGUCGUUGGGCCUCUUGUGUGUGGACUUUUUCUAGAAAGUGGACCUAAGAUAUGGGGUCAUGACCCCCCAGUAACCUUAUGCCAGGCCGGGGAGGCCAAUCUUGCUGCAUCUGAUGGAUUUGCCCUCCUGGUGGGAAGAACCAGUUGCUUGGCUGUGUAGCAGAGCCUCCUAUCCUAGGGAGCGGGCGCAGCUCCUGGGUGGAAGAUUCUGCUUCCAGCAGCUCCUGGGGAAAAGACUUUUCUUCCACUGCUAUUGAUGGAGCAGCUGUAUGUGCCAGGGGGUGUGCCUGGUGCUCUUCUAGUACCUUGUCUUAUUCACCCUUCGAGACAAUGCUUGAAAGAGAUGUUUUCGUCUCCAUUUUGCAGAUAAGAAAACUGAAGCUCGUAGAGGAGAGGUGGUUUGUUCAAGGUCACACAGCAAGUUAGUGAUAAGGCUGGGAGUAGGCUUUAAGACUUGGGACUCUUUCAACCUAAUCUUCUCCACAUCUCUUCUCUUCUUCACCAUCUACUGUGGUCUGGUCUUCUGCAGCCUGAGAGAACAAAUGGGAGUAGGGUUCCCCUCCCUCUAAAGCAUACGUUGGGCUGACAAAAAACUCAGGAACAAACUUCCUUCUUUUUUUUUUUUUUUUUUUUUUGAGACAAGGUGUUGCUCUGUCACCCAGGCUAGAGUGCAGUGGCGUUAUCAUGGCUCCAACUCAUGGGUCCAACCUAUCCUCCCACCUCAGCCUCCCAAGUAGCUGGGACCACAGGAACAUGCCACCAUGCCUGGCAUAGAGAUGUCUCCCUGUGUCACCCAGGCUGGUCUUGAACUCCUGGGCUCAAUCAAUCCUCCUGCCUUAGACUCUCAAAGUGCUCGGAUUACAGGCGUGAGCCACCGUGCCCAGACUGCAAACUUACUUCUUGUAGGGGGAACAGCAGAGUCUUGGGCCCCUUCCAGUCCCUGGCAUAGACCUGGCUCACUCUUCAGAGAACGUGCUCCCAUGCAUCCAGUCCACAGUCAGGUAGCUAUCCUGGUUGCCUUUCACUCAUGGUGUGACUCAGAGCAAGUCACUUCACCAUUCUGAAUCACACCUUCCAGAUCCACCUCCAGACCUGGGGGCUCUGUGGAAGGUGAGGCUUGGCGGAGGCGGUGGCAAGAGGAGCCCUCUUGGGCUCCUGUUUGGUGUGAUAGCUCAGGGCUGGGCAGGAGGAGAGGAGACUUGGUUUUGCCCCUAAACCUGACCCAAGUUACAUAAAGAUUCUUCAAAAGCAGGCAAGGCAGGGCUUGGUAAGAUCCCCGCUGAGCCCGUGAGAGGCAGAGAGCCAGGGCAGAGGCAGCUUAAGUAGCAGUUCUUCCCUGAUCCCCUGACUGUGUAAUCCAGUUGCUCAGAGAAUGGAAAAUCCCUUUCACCUCCCCUGGCCCCCUCCCCCACAAAGGCCUCCUAAUAGGCCUGCCAGCUUUGGGGUGCUAAUCUGCCCAGACAUCACUCUGUGAGCAGGUUGCCCAGGGUUCCAAUCCCAGCCGCCCCACAGUGGGAGACGGGGAAGGCUGGGAGGGGAGGUGGUUCUGGGAGUUGAGUGUGGGGGAUUGCCUGCUCUCUGGCCUGCCCAGAAGAUCAGAGAAACAAACAGGCUCUGUGCUGAAAGAAACUUUGGGGAUGGAGACAGGGCACAGGAUUGGAGGGAGGUGGGCAACAGGGCUGGGUCCCCUGGCAGAGGUGCCUUGGGCGGGGCUUAUUAUGAAACAGUCACUUCAUCCACCAAGCUCCUUUCAUUUUUACUUAAAAAGGGCCCCCUCUCCAGCAACUUCACCUCCCCACCCCCUCCACUUUCACCCAUCCAUCCACUGAGCCGCUGACAGCUGCCCUGCGGGUGAACUCCUGAUCGCCCCGUGGCUGGGGCUGGAGCGAUACCGGAGGGGUUCAGGCCAGAUCACUGCCCCCUCCAGCCCUCCACCCUCACCUCCCAACACACUCACUCCCUCCAGAUAGGCCCACCUCCAUUCCCCUGAGUCAGCCAGAGAGAGAAGAAAAUGAAGGAGGCGACAAAGCAGAAAAAAGGACCUGGAGGAGGAUGAAAAGAAAUAAAUGAAGAGUGGAGAAGAGGAAGAAAAAAUCAAACAGAGAAGGAGGGAAAGGGAGGAACCCGAGAAGGAAGGAAAGAGAGGAGGAAAUGAAGUACAAGGAGAAGAUGGAAAAGCAAGAGGAGAAAGGAAAGAAGGAAGGACGAAGAGAGAGAGAGAGCAGAGGCUGGAAGGCUGGAGCCCAAGCCCAGGCUAUCAUCCUUAAUAGCUGAAGAUGCUGAAGGGAGGGGAAAAAACAGGGUUGGGGAGGACUGGCGGGAGGAGGAGACCGCACAGGUAGGAUGGGAAGUACGAGGUUGCUCCAGGUACGACGCAUGAGCCUGGAUGGAGCCUCACCCACCCAGCUCCCAGCUCUGGAAACACAGCCCUCCCUCUGGACGAAGGUCCCUCGGUGCAAUGCCACAGACUGUGUCCACGGCCAUGCAGGCUGCAGGCAGAGGAAUCUCUCACUUGGGGUGGUCAGAGUUGUGGGACUGGCUGGAUGGAGCCCUACGGUCCCUUCCUUGGAUGUCAACAGCGUCCACCCCAGGCUGCAUGACCAUGCCAGUCUCAGCUGGCUUCACCACCUGCAGCGUCUGGGUCCUGCCUGCUCCCUUUGGUUACAGUUAGAAAUUUCUCCUGAUUUGAGAUUUUAUCUUACGAUGGACUGGGCCUUAAAGACCAAGUACUUUCCACCUGCUCAUUUUAUAGAUGCGAAACAGGCCUGGAGAGGGGAAGAAACUUGUUUACAGUCACAUUGUGAGUUAAUGGGGCGCUCUGCCUUUCUAAGACCAAGGCUGAGACAAUAGCCAGGGAGGACAAGGGAGUGUGGUGUCUCUGCAGAGGGCUCAGCGUUUGAUUCCCUCUGCUGGGAACACAGCCACAGCAUUUUAUAUCCUAGAUGAGAGAAAACAUUUGUGGCUACGAUAGUUCCCGAAUUUUAAGUACCUACGAUACACCAGCUUUGUAUUAUUCUCAAUAACUCCUCAUACGUAUCCUGUCAUGUAGAUAUUCCAUGCCCUGCAUUUACAGAGAAAUAAACCAAGGCCCAGAGAGGUUGAGUAAUUUGUCUGAGGUCACACAGCUAGGAAUUUGAGCCGGGAUUUGCUCAAAGCUUAUGCUGAAUCUCUUAUGCCAUGCUGUCUCUUGGGUGUCCAUAGCCGACACUCUUCUUGCCUACCUCAUUCCUACCCCACCACCCCAUACAUAGCCCAGGGAUUGAAUCUGAGGCGUUCUCAUGGCAGCUGGAACUGAUAUUGCCAGGGAGAACGCAGCUGGGUGGACCUGAUCAUGUCUCCUCAUCUCCCCUCAAAGACCCCACAAAGACAAGGGGAAGGUCCCCUGAGCCUCUGUAUGAUUUAUCUGAUGAUAUUGUUAUUUUAUGGGAUGGGCCAAAGAGGUGUCAGGAAGCAAGUUCGCUGUAAAUCUCUUUUCUCUGCUCCCUUUCCCUCUGCGCGUCCCCUCCUGGGAUUUAUGGUGAAAUCUGUUCAGAGCUAGGGACUUGGGGCUUUGAGUUCAGGCUUGGGGUGGUACGGCAAGGGACCAUACAUCUUCCUUCUCUGGGAUCUGCUAAAAGUGUGCUAUCCACGCCCCAUCAUGAGCUGCAGCAUUGAGUCCACAAAGCCCUUAUUAAGAUCUCCAUGGCACUCGAAUAGCUCUGCAGACAGAGCACAUGACCUGCAGCGGAGAUGUGUUAUCUGGACCUACCCACAGGCUGGUGGCCUAUGUGUGGCCCCCUCACUGGUGGGCAUGAGUUUCUGAAUCCAGCCAGGAACCCGGGAACAGAGCGCACUGGGAGCAGAUGUGUGACCCCCACACGAUAGCUGAGGCCAGGAAGAAGUGGCGGGGCUGGGGGUGCUCCUCACGGAGUGGCAGGUCAGGGGCUAGCUGGAAAGGAACCUGCUUCUGGGUCCUUUCUGAGAUGGGGGUGCACAGGGAGGAAGGCAGCUUGAAAUUUACUCCCUGCCCCGGGGCAGGCAGACUCAAAGUGACUGGCCCUGCAAACACUGCUAUGGGCUCUGUCACUAGGGGUGAACACAAGGUCACACACUUGAGAGGGCAGAUGAAGGCUGGGCACCCUAUCCACCUUCACACUUCUCCCCUCCUCGGGGGCUUUCAUGGCUGCAAAUGCUGGGCUGAUUGUCCCAAGCUGAGCUUGUCCAGUCAGAGGCCAGUAUGUGCUGGUUGCCGCCAGAGGCCUAGAGAUAGCUCAGUCCAGGGACGGAAGAGACAGGAAUGAGAGGAGGGCAGAGGAGUGGAAAAGGAGGGAAAGGAGGAGUUAAGGGGAGGGGAGGAGCAGGGAGAAUAAAGGAGGAGAUACUAGCAAAAGCCUUUGCUGACCUGCCCCCCACCCAGACCUCUCCUCCACUGUGAUGAGAAAUCUUCUCUCUUCACAACUCCUUAGAGGGUGCUAGUGUGGCCUCCUGCCCAUGGUGGCCUCCAGUAUUCAUGAGCCAGUUGUUGCAGAGGAAUUUCUUCAAACAGUCCACGGCCCCUGGAUGAUUUAUCUUGAGCACCCAUGACUCCCCACAGUCCCAAGUCCAGUGUGCAGAAUCUUAGGGAGGGCUGGGUGAAUCCUGGCUAAAUGAAUACAGAGAAAAGAAAAGGGGAGAAAAGAAAAGAGUGGAUACCAGGUGUCUCCCCCACCCCGUCCUCACCCUGCUCAUCUCCUGACUGCCUGAACCAGGGCUGUGCUGUGUCUCCGGUUAAAUAUGUGGAAUUAUCUAUUACAAUACUUCGAUAUUUAUUACAUUGAUUUCGCUUUAAAUGCUUUGUAAAUCAUAGCAAAAAAUAAUGGCCUUCCAACAGAGAGUCAUAUACCGUAAUCAACUGGAAGAAAGUCGGCAUUGUAAUUUAAAAUAAAAAAAAAAAUCCUUAUGUGAGUCUCUCGUUUAAAUUAAGAGACAGGACGUGAUUCAAAUAAUAAGACCCAAGUGAGGCUGGUUUUUCUUGGCAAAUUAGUAGAGGUUUUAACUGGAACUGAAAAGGUGUUAAGGUGGAACACUGACCUUAUUAGACCUUAAUUAUCUUCUGUUGUUACAUUCCUGGAGCCGAGGGUUGUUUUUUUUUUUUUUCUUCCAAAGUGGCCAUGUUAAACCUCAUCUCAGGAACUUUGGCUUUAGAGGGAUAUCACUUCUCAAGAGGCAUUAGUGGGACAAAAAGCAGACACUUCACCAGUGUCCCUUUUCUCCAUCCUCGAGUUUCAUGGGCAGCCAGAAUUGCUGGUUUGGAGGCAACGUUCUUGUCAUUGAAAGCUGAGAAUUUGCCCCACUCACGUCCCUGAUUCCUUUAGUUUUUCACCUGUAGCCUUCCUAGUGGUAGCCUCCUCUCCCUGGAUCUAGCUUCAGCCCAGGCUGAUGGAGCCAGCAUCCACCUGGCCAAGAGAGA
Symphalangus syndactylus (siamang) is the source of this 14249-nucleotide RNA transcript. RefSeq lists it as uncharacterized. The record is from RefSeq and is a predicted model, not a curated record. Lineage: Eukaryota; Metazoa; Chordata; Mammalia; Primates; Hylobatidae.